ACAACUUUUAACAACGGAUCUCUUGGCUCUCGCAUCGAUGAAGAACGCAGCGAACUGCGAUAAGUAAUGUGAAUUGCAGAAUUCAGUGAAUCAUCGAAUCUUUGAACGCACCUUGCGCUCUCUGGUAUUCCGGGGAGCACACCUGUUCGAGUGU
This 154-nucleotide ribosomal RNA is filed under the name Hydnum sp. 4 BF-2016. Its description in RNAcentral is "5.8S ribosomal RNA". It matches the Rfam family "5.8S ribosomal RNA". From Rfam's summary of the family: 5.8S ribosomal RNA (5.8S rRNA) is a component of the large subunit of the eukaryotic ribosome. It is transcribed by RNA polymerase I as part of the 45S precursor that also contains 18S and 28S rRNA. Lineage: Eukaryota; Fungi; Basidiomycota; Agaricomycetes; Cantharellales; Hydnaceae. The record is from RNAcentral.